CCCUGUAAUUGGAAUGAGUACACUUUAAAUCCUUUAACAAGGACCUAUUGGAGGGCAAGUCUGGUGCCAGCAGCCGCGGUAACUCCAGCUCCAAUAGCGUAUAUUAAAGUUGUUGCGGUUAAAACGUUCGUAGUUGAACUUGUGCUUCAUACGGGUAGUACAACUAUAAUUGUAGUCUGUACUGUACCUUAUGUAUGUAAGCGUAUUACCGGUGGAGUUCUUAUAUGUGUUAAGUACUUGUAUUUUUCGCAUAUUCCUCCUAUUUAAACCUGCUUCAGUGCUCUUCAUCGAGUGUUGUUGUGGGCCGGUACAAUUACUUUGAACAAAUUAGAGUGCUUAAAGCAGGCUCCAAAUGCCUGAAUAUUUUGUGCAUGGAAUAAUGAAAUAAGACCUCUGUUCUACUUUCAUUGGUUUUUAGAUCAAGAGGUAAUGAUUAAUAGAAGCAGUUUGGGGGCAUUAGUAUUACGACGCGAGAGGUGAAAUUCUUGGACCGUCGUAAGACUAACUUAAGCGAAAGCAUUUGCCAAAGAUGUUUUCAUUAAUCAAGAACGAAAGUUAGAGGUUCGAAGGCGAUCAGAUACCGCCCUAGUUCUAACCAUAAACGAUGCCAGCUAGCAAUUGGGUGUAGCUACUAUCAUGGCUCUCUCAGUGGCUUCCCGGGAAACCAAAGCUUUUGGGCUCCGGGGGAAGUAUGGUUGCAAAGCUGAAACUUAAAGGAAUUGACGGAAGGGCACCACCAGGAGUGGAGCCUGCGGCUUAAUUUGACUCAAC
RNAcentral lists this ribosomal RNA (771 nucleotides) under Panzeria ampelus. Its description in RNAcentral is "SSU rRNA". It matches the Rfam family "Eukaryotic small subunit ribosomal RNA", at positions 501 to 1204 of the family's 1831-position model. The record is from RNAcentral. Lineage: Eukaryota; Metazoa; Arthropoda; Insecta; Diptera; Tachinidae.